RNAcentral lists this small nuclear RNA (140 nucleotides) under Rhodnius prolixus. Its description in RNAcentral is "U4 spliceosomal RNA". It matches the Rfam family "U4 spliceosomal RNA". Rfam says of the family: U4 small nuclear RNA (U4 snRNA) is a component of the major U2-dependent spliceosome. The structure of U4 snRNA from yeast and human has been reported. U4 snRNA presents a k-turn RNA motif in the 5p-SL related to recognition of Snu13 protein. The record is from Rfam by way of RNAcentral. Lineage: Eukaryota; Metazoa; Arthropoda; Insecta; Hemiptera; Reduviidae.
AACCUAGCGCAGAGGUAAUAUCAAUAACCAAUGAAGGCCUCCUGAGGUGCGAUUAUUGGCUAGUUGAAAACUUUUACUAAUGAGGGUUAACUUGUUAUGAAAAGGAAGGAAUGGGCAAGAGUUUUGUAAAGAUGGCCGCA